Small nucleolar RNA from Heteronotia binoei (common prickly gecko), 74 nucleotides. RefSeq annotates it as small nucleolar RNA SNORD59. The record is from RefSeq and is a predicted model, not a curated record. Lineage: Eukaryota; Metazoa; Chordata; Lepidosauria; Squamata; Gekkonidae. The transcript has a single exon.
CCUUCAGUGAUGAAUAACAUCAUGACUUUCGUUCUUCUGAGAUUGCUGAAGCAGCUUUUUUCUGUCUGAGAAGG